This 465-nucleotide ribosomal RNA is filed under the name Vreelandella stevensii. Its description in RNAcentral is "partial 16S ribosomal RNA". It matches the Rfam family "Bacterial small subunit ribosomal RNA", at positions 338 to 795 of the family's 1533-position model. Lineage: Bacteria; Pseudomonadati; Pseudomonadota; Gammaproteobacteria; Oceanospirillales; Halomonadaceae. The record is from RNAcentral.
CCUACGGGGCGCAGCAGUGGGGAAUAUUGGACAAUGGGCGAAAGCCUGAUCCAGCCAUGCCGCGUGUGUGAAGAAGGCCUUCGGGUUGUAAAGCACUUUCAGUGGGGAAGAAAGCCUUGGGGCUAAUACCCUCGAGGAAGGACAUCACCCACAGAAGAAGCACCGGCUAACUCCGUGCCAGCAGCCGCGGUAAUACGGAGGGUGCGAGCGUUAAUCGGAAUUACUGGGCGUAAAGCGCGCGUAGGCGGUCUGAUAAGCCGGUUGUGAAAGCCCCGGGCUCAACCUGGGAACGGCAUCCGGAACUGUCAGGCUAGAGUGCAGGAGAGGAAGGUAGAAUUCCCGGUGUAGCGGUGAAAUGCGUAGAGAUCGGGAGGAAUAACAGUGGCGAAGGCGGCCUUCUGGACUGACACUGACGCUGAGGUGCGAAAGCGUGGGUAGCAAACAGGAUUAGAUACCCCUGUAGUC